Molecule: long non-coding RNA, 1645 nt
Filed under: Pongo abelii (Sumatran orangutan)
Lineage: Eukaryota; Metazoa; Chordata; Mammalia; Primates; Hominidae
Description: lincRNA
Source: RNAcentral
CCGCAGACACACUGAAGUCGCUAGACGUCGUGAGGAACACAUCCGGGGAAGAAGACACAGGUGGCUGGUCAUCGAGAGCCCGCUGGGGGAAGAGCACACAGACAGGCACCGGCAGGCCAUUGACCAGCGGGACAAGGGGUGCUCAAUGUCAUCACAAGGGUCCUUAAGAGGGAAAGAGGAAGCCAUGAGGGUCAGAGUCAAAGGAAGACUUGAAGAUACUACACUGAGGACUUUAAAGAUGAAGGAAGGGGCGAAAACCAAGAAUGUGGGAAGCCUCUAGAAGCUAGAGAAGGCAAGGAAACAGAUUUUCCACUAGAGCCUCCAGAAGGAACACAGCCCUGCUGACCCACUGUAAUGUCUGACCUCUAGAUGUGUAAGGGUAGUAAGACUGAAAGUCUCAGAAAGGCACUGUUACAUUCUUAUUCCACAACCAUGCAACUCAAAACUGGGGUCCUCAGCAAUGAGCGAGGGGCGAGAGAAGGCACUGUAUAAACAUGGCACAUCCUCCUGGAAAGUCAACUUUACUCAAAGGUAAAUAAUUUAACAUAUUUUUCUUUUUAAAACACACAUGGAUGUAUUAUGAAGGAGAAUGCAAAUUUUGCAUGAAUUUUUAAGAAUAGGAGUGGAUUAUUCAACCACUUUCUUAUUGCAGCUUUAGAAACCCAGCUCAAACUAGCUGAAGCAGAAAAGACACUACUGCGCCUGUAAGUUGAAAUUUUGGAGGGAUAUAUUUCAGAGGUGUGGCUAGAUCCAAGGGCUCUCUGGAAAACUCUGUGAAAAAAUGCUUCCUCAAGUCCAGAAACCAGAAGCUCAGGAAAUUCUUGCUUGGUUCCUCUUGUUAGAGGCAGAGAUUAUUCAACGACCUACAGGGUAGCGUUUGAACAUUGUCACCAGGAGUCUUUACUUUGCCAUUUUCCAAGUCUGUUCUCCUCAGUGUUGGUUUCAUUUACAAGAAGGCCAUCUUUGCCCUCGUGGCAAUGAUGGUCUUUACUCCAGGCUUAAGACCCUUACUAUCUACUAUUUCCAAAGCGGAGAGAGAACUUCCCACACCUAGUGACCUGUGACACAGGAUUUUAUCCUGAGGACAGAGGGAAUUCAAUUGGCUAACAUAAUCUGUCUUCCAAUGGAGUAAGAAUGUCUGGACUCUUUCCUUCACCUACCCCCAAGACAUGGAGGUGUCUAAAAGAUAAAUAAAACUUGGUGACUGACUGAAGGAGGAAGAGGGGAUUUCAGGCAAAAUCAACCCUGUUCACUAUGAGGAGACUUCAGAAAGGUUGCCUGCUUCUGGGGAGCAUAGUCCCUGAUUCCUCAAGACACACAUUUAUUCUUUUCUUCAAUGUAUUUGCCUGCAGUCAAAACAAAAUCAUUACCUUUAGCAAAGUUCACAUGUUUCAGCCAAAUCCAUAUGCAUCUGAUCAGUUCUGUAGGUUAUGGGUGAGCAUGAACAUAUAAAAGAGGCACCUGCCUGUGCCCAUCUACUCCAUGGAGUUUGAAAAGGGGCCACUUAUGGAGAAUGUCUUUAGGGACAGAACCAACCACCCUGUCUUUCCUCCAACUCUCAAAGUAACUUCUGGCUUUAAUCCUCAAGUAUCUAUGCUGGAGUUUAAGAAAAAUGUUUUUCAUAGAAUUCAGGUGUAUGAUAUUG